Molecule: ribosomal RNA, 481 nt
Filed under: uncultured bacterium
Lineage: Bacteria
Description: partial 16S ribosomal RNA
Rfam family: Bacterial small subunit ribosomal RNA
Source: RNAcentral
GGGGAAUAUUGCACAAUGGGCGAAAGCCUGAUGCAGCGACGCCGUGUGCGGGAUGAAGGCCUUCGGGUUGUAAACCGCUUUUGAUUGGGAGCAAGCGAGAGUGAGUGUACCUUUCGAAUAAGCACCGGCUAACUACGUGCCAGCAGCCGCGGUAAUACGUAGGGUGCAAGCGUUAUCCGGAAUUAUUGGGCGUAAAGAGCUCGUAGGCGGUUUGUCGCGUCUGGUGUGAAAGUCCAUCGCUUAACGGUGGAUCUGCGCCGGGUACGGGCAGGCUAGAGUGCGACAGGGGAGACUGGAAUUCCCGGUGUAACGGUGGAAUGUGUAGAUAUCGGGAAGAACACCAAUGGCGAAGGCAGGUCUCUGGGUCGUCACUGACGCUGAGGAGCGAAAGCGUGGGGAGCGAACAGGAUUAGAUACCCUGGUAGUCCACGCCGUAAACGGUGGAUGCUGGAUGUGGGGCCCAUUCCACGGGUUCCGUGUC